Long non-coding RNA from Rattus norvegicus (Norway rat), 629 nucleotides. RefSeq lists it as uncharacterized. NCBI's taxonomy places the organism in Eukaryota, Metazoa, Chordata, Mammalia, Rodentia, Muridae. The record is from RefSeq and is a predicted model, not a curated record.
CCUGUCACUCUGUGCAAAGCUAUGUCAGAAUACUCCAGCAGCCCAUGUGAAGAGGAACUGAGCUCUCAAGACAGCAACUAGAGCAGCCCAUAGUAAUGUGGAAUUAUCAACUUUAUGAAGAGUAAAGCUUUAAUUCAGUGAAUUCUGUCUUGAAAAGUUAGUAAAGCCUUUUAGGAAACAUUUGACAGGAUACUGCUGAAACCGGUGGAGGAGAGGGAAGGAAAGAAGAGGAAAAGAGAGGGAAGAAAGAGAACAAGCUACGUAUUUAACAUCUUUUAAAGCACGAAACGGCAUGAUUACAUAAUGCAGUGAGAUCAGCAGAUUUCGCCCUUGCCUCCACACAGUGCUUAAUUUCACGUUAUAUAUGGAAACCCUCCAAGAGGAAAGCGGAAUCACUCGAUUUGAAGUUAUUUAGGAAAAUAGAGAACAUAAGUAAAUAGUUGAAAACUUUAAAGAGAGCACCUCCCACAGCCCAUUUAGCAGAAGAGGUUGUGGUGAUGAGCUUCCAUAGCUUUUCUCUCCUCUUGGCUGCCAUGUUAGCACUGUGUCUUCUGUAUUAAAUGUGUUGAAGUCAUGCAAUAUGGACACACUAUCCUAACAAAAUAAAUAAAAGCAGAAGUUGUAACUUA